GAUGAACGCUGGCGGCGUGCCUAAUACAUGCAAGUCGAGCGAACAGACGAGGAGCUUGCUCCUCUGACGUUAGCGGCGGACGGGUGAGUAACACGUGGAUAACCUACCUAUAAGACUGGGAUAACUUCGGGACACCGGAGCUAAUACCGGAUAAUAUAUUGAACCGCAUGGUUCAAUAGUGAAAGACGGUUUUGCUGUCACUUAUAGAUGGAUCCGCGCCGCAUUAGCUAGUUGGUAAGGUAACGGCUUACCAAGGCAACGAUGCGUAGCCGACGUGAGAGGGUGAUCGGCCACACUGGAACUGAGACACGGUCCAGACUCCUACGGGAGGCAGCAGUAGGGAAUCUUCCGCAAAGGGCGAAAGCUUGACGGAGCAACGCCGCGUGAGUGAUGAAGGUCUUCGGAGCGUAAAACUCUGUUAUUAGGGAAGAACAAAUGUGUAAGUAACUAUGCACGUCUUGACGGUACCUAAUCAGAAAGCCACGGCUAACUACGUG
This 497-nucleotide ribosomal RNA is filed under the name uncultured bacterium. Its description in RNAcentral is "partial 16S ribosomal RNA". It matches the Rfam family "Bacterial small subunit ribosomal RNA", at positions 28 to 507 of the family's 1533-position model. The record is from RNAcentral.